Molecule: long non-coding RNA, 947 nt
Organism: Eupeodes corollae
Lineage: Eukaryota; Metazoa; Arthropoda; Insecta; Diptera; Syrphidae
Exons: 5
Source: RefSeq, a predicted model, not a curated record
UAUUAAUGUAAAACAACAGGUAGUAAAAUCAUUCUAUCGAAAAGUAGUUAAGUUAUUUGCGAACGUAGCUUUGGACACGGCUUCAAUAUAAAAAUAGUGACUUAUUUUGUUAGUUCUAUAAAAAGUAGUUCUAUUGCCGGCAUCUUGUUAUCAGCGUGUGUCGAAGUGCCUAAAUUUUAAGCAAAUAGCAACAAAAUCCUAGAAUACCCAUUUCAAAUAUAAUUUGGUUCAAUGGUCCAUAUUUAUAGUUAACUGCAUUACUGUGAAACGUAAUGGUCAUUAAAAUCAUUUUUCUUGUAAAACGUAUUUUAUUCAAUGAUAAAUAUGUAGUUUAUAUUAAAAAAAUAUAAAACUUAAUCAAACGGAUAUUUUUUGAUUCCAUGAUAAAUUUGACUUCAAUUUUACUGCUUCAAACACAAAAAUGCGACUAGCGACGACGAUGACUGUGCGGCAUAGGAAUGUGAAUAAAAUAUAAAAUUUAAUUCCAAAAACUCAACACGAGCACUUAAAUUAUUAUUAUUUGGAAGGAAGCGCUUAUAUCUCUCUAUAAACAACCUUUUACUUUAUUUUUAUUUAUGUAUAUUUUUACGUCUUUCUUAUAGAAAUAUAUGAUCGCGCCUUGGGAAUUUAUCGAGCAAAGAUGUGCAUUACUCCAAAAAGGUAUUUUUCCUUUUGUUUGUAUGUAUGUACUUUUUCCAUCUCCGAGGACAGAUUAUUUCGCACAUAUUUAUCAAGGGAAUACAAAGUACACCGUACGUACACACAUGUGUACAUAUUGAGGCGUGUGCAGUAUCAAGAAAGAAGAAGUCGCCUGGAAAAACAACUAUGAGCACCAUUCCGGAAGAAUUAACUAUCAGAACCGUCCUGUCGAUUUUUCAAAAAUAUUUCUUAAUGUUUAUGAAUUUAAAUUUUGUUUUAAUAAAAGAUUCUUUAAUUCUGUGUAUUUA